GUGCAAAGGUAGCAUAAUCAUUUGGUUUUUAAAUGAAAUCUUGUAUGAAGGGGUUAACGGGGAUUAACUGUCUUAAAAGAAUAUUUUGAAUUUUAACUUUUUGUAAUAAUGCAAAAAUUUAUUUAAGGGACGAUAAGACCCUAUAAAGCUUUAUUUUAAAUUAAAAUAAGGACUAAUUUUUUUUUAAUAAAUAAAUUUUACUGGGGCGGUAGCUUAUAAAACUAAGUUAAAAUAAUUUGAUCCAAUAUUAUUGAUAAUAAGAUUAAGUUACUUUAGGGAUAACAGCAUAAUUCAUUUAGGGAGUUCAAAUCGAAGAGUGGGAUUGUGACCUCGAUGUUGAAUU
This 343-nucleotide ribosomal RNA is filed under the name Opilio parietinus. RNAcentral describes it as "partial large subunit ribosomal RNA". It matches the Rfam family "Bacterial large subunit ribosomal RNA", at positions 1948 to 2538 of the family's 2925-position model. The record is from RNAcentral. Lineage: Eukaryota; Metazoa; Arthropoda; Arachnida; Opiliones; Phalangiidae.